UACGUAGGGUGCAAGCGUUGUUCGGAAUUACUGGGCGUAAAGGGAGCGUAGGCGGAGUGAUAAGUUAGAAGUUUAAUGUACGGGCUUAACCCGUAAUCUGCUUCUAAUACUGUCUCUCUUGAGUAUGGGAGAGGAUGAUGGAAUUCCAGGUGUAGCGGUGGAAUGCGUAGAUAUCUGGAAGAACACCAGCAGCGAAGGCGGUCAUCUGGCCCAAUACUGACGCUGAGGCUCGAAAGCUAGGGGAG
This 245-nucleotide ribosomal RNA is filed under the name uncultured bacterium. Its description in RNAcentral is "partial 16S ribosomal RNA". It matches the Rfam family "Bacterial small subunit ribosomal RNA", at positions 524 to 768 of the family's 1533-position model. The record is from RNAcentral.